AAACCGUCCCCUAAGUUUUGCAACUGUAGCAGUUUUGGCCCCCAAGAUCAAUUUUUGGUAAAAAAUAAAUAAAUAACACGUGACAUCUCACUUAGGGUGUCACAUCAACGUAGACCGAGUCAAAAUUGACCUUGAGGGUCAAAACUGUCACAAAUGCAAAACUUAGGGGGAGAUUU
This 176-nucleotide microRNA precursor is filed under the name Medicago truncatula (barrel medic). RNAcentral describes it as "MIR2619 microRNA precursor family". It matches the Rfam family "MIR2619 microRNA precursor family". The record is from Rfam by way of RNAcentral. Lineage: Eukaryota; Viridiplantae; Streptophyta; Magnoliopsida; Fabales; Fabaceae.